This 309-nucleotide ribosomal RNA is filed under the name uncultured bacterium. Its description in RNAcentral is "partial 16S ribosomal RNA". It matches the Rfam family "Bacterial small subunit ribosomal RNA", at positions 504 to 807 of the family's 1533-position model. The record is from RNAcentral.
AGAUACAGCAGUAGCCGCGGGAAUACGAAGGGUGCAAGCGUUACUCGGAAUUACUGGGCGUAAAGCGUGCGUAGGUGGUGGUUUAAGUCCGUUGUGAAAGCCCUGGGCUCAACCUGGGAAUUGCAGUGGAUACUGGGUCACUAGAGUGUGGUAGAGGAUAGUGGAAUUUCCGGUGUAGCAGUGAAAUGCGUAGAGAUCGGAAGGAACAUCUGUGGCGAAGGCGACUAUCUGGGCCAACACUGACACUGAGGCACGAAAGCGUGGGGAGCAAACAGGAUUAGAUACCCCCGUAGUCCCUGUCUCUUAUAC